AUAGAGACUCAGAGCUGCAUAUCAAUAAGCGGAGGAAAAGAAACUAACUAGGAUUCCCUUAGUAACGGCGAGUGAAGCGGGAAGAGCUCAAAUUUGAAAUCUUCAAGGUUCUACCUUGACGAAUUGUAGUUUAAAGAAGUGUUUUCUGUUGGAGUUUUGGUAAAAGUUCUUUGGAAUAGGACAUCAUAGAGGGUGAGAAUCCCGUAUUUGACCAUUUCUUCCAGCUGUGUGAUACACUUUCAAAGAGUCGGAUUGUUUGGGAAUGCAGUCCAAAAUGGGUGGUAAAUUUCAUCUAAAGCUAAAUAUUGGCGAGAGACUGAUAGCGAACAAGUACCGUGAGGGAAAGAUGAAAAGAGCUUUGAAAAGAGAGUUAAACAGUACGUGAAAUUGUCAAAAGGGAAGCGUUUGACACCAAUGUUGUUUUCUCGAAAAUCAAUUAAAAAUGACCGGAUUUUGUGUUGUAUUGACUUUAUCAGCUUUCUGCACUUUUUUCUUGUCUUUUUUAAUGCACUUUUCGUUUAACAAGUCAACAUCAAUUUCUUUUGUUGUAAAAGAGUCAUUGGAAGGUGGCUUUCAUUUCGGUGAAAGUGUUUAUAGCCUUUGACUUCUGCAAUCGGAGAGAUUGAGGUCUGCAGCGUAGAUCCUUCGGGGUUAGAUACAUUUGUGCUAAGUUAUAGUUUUUCAUAGACAACAUGUUGACUAUGAUUAAUCAUGUAGCUUACUCGCUUAUGCUAUUUUACCUACGCUUAGGAUGUUGACGAGACUGUCGAUCUC
This 774-nucleotide ribosomal RNA is filed under the name uncultured Neocallimastigales. RNAcentral's name for it is "partial large subunit ribosomal RNA". It matches the Rfam family "Eukaryotic large subunit ribosomal RNA", at positions 23 to 645 of the family's 3401-position model. Lineage: Eukaryota; Fungi; Neocallimastigomycota; Neocallimastigomycetes; Neocallimastigales. The record is from RNAcentral.